This 161-nucleotide unclassified non-coding RNA is filed under the name uncultured Ascomycota. RNAcentral describes it as "sequence contains ITS1". Lineage: Eukaryota; Fungi; Ascomycota. The record is from RNAcentral.
CAACGUAGGACCCCGGUCUAACCACCGGGGGAUGGUUCAUAACCCUUUGUUGUCCGACUCUGUUGCCUCCGGGGCGACCCUGCCUUCGGGCGGGGGCUCCGGGUGGACACUUCAAACUCUUGCGUAACUUUGCAGUCUGAGUAAACUUAAUUAAUAAAUUA